AGAGUGAACNAGCUAACUGAAAAUCACAAAAACACAAAUAGUGCUUAUUGUGAUAACGUAAGGGAAAAAAAUGAUAUCACCUUACUAUAAGUGUUGUCUAAAUAACUGGUGCCAGAAGACUCGGUAACACCAGAAACGCGAACGUUAGUCGUCUUAAACAGGCGUAAAGGGUAAGUAGGCUGCUUUAAAUUCUAUUUUUAAAUUAAGCUAAUUAGUAAUAUUCCCCCCUCACUAGAAAUAAGGGGAGGGCCAAGACUAACGAAAAAAAGUUUUCAGACCUGAAAUUCUAAAUUAAGGCUAACAAAAAUUGAAAAUAGGUAACUAUUAGGUCCGCAGACUUUAUAUAGUAUUUAUUACUAAAUGGAACAAAAAUAGAUAUAUUUAAAGCUAGAAUCAUAAUUGAGAUAAACCAAAUAAUACUUAUGUGUAAGGGCGAUAUCUGUAAAUACUAAGUAGAAUACUAACGGUGAAAACUUUUUAUCUGGUAAUGAUUGACGCUGAGGUACGAAAGUGAGAACACGGAAUACGAUUAGAUACCCAGUUACCUCUCACCGUCAACGAUGAAUGGUAGUUGUUAGUUUAAUUAAAUUAGUGACGAUGUUAACGCNAUAACCAUUCCGCCUGAGAGUACGGUUGCAAAACUGAAACCAAAAAAUACUCAGACUCGGAGCAAACGGAGUGAGCCAUGGUAUUAUCAUAUC
RNAcentral lists this ribosomal RNA (701 nucleotides) under Inocybe godeyi. Its description in RNAcentral is "16S ribosomal RNA". It matches the Rfam family "Bacterial small subunit ribosomal RNA", at positions 380 to 956 of the family's 1533-position model. The record is from RNAcentral. Lineage: Eukaryota; Fungi; Basidiomycota; Agaricomycetes; Agaricales; Inocybaceae.